AACGCACAUUGCGCCCUUUGGCAUUCCUUAGGGCAUGCCUGUUCGAGCGUCAUUUACACCCUCAAGCGCUGCUUGGUGUUGGGCGUCUGUCCCGCCUCACGGCUGUGGACUCGCCUCAAAGUCAUUGGCGGCCGGUACGUGGGCUUCGAGCGCAGCGCAAUCGCGUCUCGAGGCCCGCCGUGCCCGCGUCCACAAGGCAAAAGUCUAACCGUCUUGACCUCGGAUCAGGUAGGGAUACCCGCUGAACUUAA
This 251-nucleotide unclassified non-coding RNA is filed under the name uncultured fungus. Its description in RNAcentral is "partial contains 5.8S ribosomal RNA, internal transcribed spacer 2, and large subunit ribosomal RNA". The record is from RNAcentral. Lineage: Eukaryota; Fungi.